UAAAAACCCCGACUUCGGAAGGGGUGUAUUUAUUAGAUACAAAACCAAUGCCCUUCGGGGCUCUUUGGUGAUUCAUGAUAACCAUACGAAUCGCACGGCCUUGCGCCGGCGAUGGUUCAUUCAAAUUUCUUCCCUAUCAACUUUCGAUGUUUGGGUAUUGGCCAAACAUGGUUGCAACGGGUAACGGAGGGUUAGGGCUCGACCCCGGAGAAGGAGCCUGAGAAACGGCUACUACAUCCAAGGAAGGCAGCAGGCGCGCAAAUUACCCAAUCCCGACUCGGGGAGGUAGUGACAAUAAAUACUGAUACAGGGCCCUUUCGGGCCUUGUAAUUGGAAUGAGUACAAUUUAAAUCCCUUAACGAGGAACAAUUGGAGGGCAAGUCUGGUGCCAGCAGCCGCGGUAAUUCCAGCUCCAAUAGCGUAUAUUAAAGUUGUUGUGGUUAAAAAGCUCGUAGUUGAACCUUGGGCCUGGCUGGCCGGUCCGCCUCACCGCGUGCACUGGUCCGGCCGGGCCUUUCCCUCUGUGGAACCCCAUACCCUUCACUGGGCGUGGCGGGGAAACAGGACAUUUACUUU
This 576-nucleotide ribosomal RNA is filed under the name uncultured eukaryote. RNAcentral's name for it is "SSU rRNA". It matches the Rfam family "Eukaryotic small subunit ribosomal RNA", at positions 174 to 758 of the family's 1831-position model. The record is from RNAcentral.